UACAGAGGGUGCGAGCGUUGUUCGGAAUUAUUGGGCGUAAAGCGCUUGUAGGCGGCCUGAAAAGUCUCGUGUGAAAUCCCCUGGCUUAACCAGGGAAGUGCGCGAGAAACUUUCGGGCUUGAGUGCCGGAGAGGGUCGCGGAAUUCCCGGUGUAGAGGUGAAAUUCGUAGAUAUCGGGAGGAACACCAGUGGCGAAGGCGGCGACCUGGACGGACACUGACGCUGAGACGCGUAAGCGUGGGGAGCAAACAGG
Molecule: ribosomal RNA, 253 nt
Filed under: uncultured prokaryote
Description: partial 16S ribosomal RNA
Rfam family: Bacterial small subunit ribosomal RNA
Source: RNAcentral